CAGAGAUGGAUUGGUGCCUUCGGGAACUCUGAGACAGGUGCUGCAUGGCUGUCGUCAGCUCGUGUUGUGAAAUGUUGGGUUAAGUCCCGCAACGAGCGCAACCCUUAUCCUUUGUUGCCAGCGGUUAGGCCGGGAACUCAAAGGAGACUGCCAGUGAUAAACUGGAGGAAGGUGGGGAUGACGUCAAGUCAUCAUGGCCCUUACGAGUAGGGCUACACACGUGCUACAAUGGCGCAUACAAAGAGAAGCGACCUCGCGAGAGCAAGCGGACCUCAUAAAGUGCGUCGUAGUCCGGAUUGGAGUCUGCAACUCGACUCCAUGAAGUCGGAAUCGCUAGUAAUCGUAGAUCAGAAUGCUACGGUGAAUACGUUCCCGGGUCUUGUACACACCG
Molecule: ribosomal RNA, 391 nt
Filed under: Enterobacter cloacae
Lineage: Bacteria; Pseudomonadati; Pseudomonadota; Gammaproteobacteria; Enterobacterales; Enterobacteriaceae
Description: bacterial SSU rRNA
Rfam family: Bacterial small subunit ribosomal RNA
Source: RNAcentral